GUAGGAACGCCUACUUCAUAGACUUCGUAGUACACAGCGACUGAAUGGAUGUAGCUAAAAGAGUCGUUCAUAAAGAAUCGACCUCACCCGAUUCAGUGAGAUCGAUUCAUUCGAACGAGUCCACUGUUGUACAGUUUCCCUUUAAAGUUAGUUGCACCUAUGAGCUCGCGCAGGGUCCGGGCGCGUCACCGAGCAAUUAGAGGGAAACACACACACACACACACACACACACCCGCACACACAUACACACACACACACAGAGCAGAGUUAGAUCCCAAAGCACACAUUUCUCUUCAUCACUGAAAGGAUUUCGGAAGUAAAGGAGGCUCGCGCGCUUUCACACUAAAACCACUGGAUCAAAAUCUGGAGAUGUACACUGACUUUUUUUUUUUUUUUUUUUUUUUGUUGUGUGUGUGUGUGUGUGUGUGUGUGUGUGUGUGUGUGUAUCAAACUGAACAAUGUGGGAUAGGUGUGGAAAAAACCAGCACAGGGUCGUGGGAAGCCUGGAGCCUUUCCCAGGGGAUUCGGGGCACAAGACAGGGGACACGCUGGACACCCAUCGCAGGACACAUUCACACACACAUUCACAUACUACGGACCAUUUAGAGAUGCAAAUCUGCCUACAGUGUAUAUCUUUGGACUGGGGGAGGAAACUGGAGUACCCGGAGGAAACCUUUGAAGCACAGGGAGAGCAUGCUCUGUGCACACAGGGUGGAGGAGGAAUUCGAACCCCCCAUCCCUGGAGGUGCGAAGCAAAUGUGCUAACCACUAAACCACCAAAUAAUAACUCAACAAUUCUAAUGAAACUCUUAUCAGUCUUUAAGCUAAAUAACCAAACUGUAACACUAUUUAUGUGUUCAGAUAUUGCCAUUUAUCAAGAACAAAAAGAAGCAACAGCAACAAUAUUAUAUUCAGGAUGUACUUUUCUUGUACAAUUUUGUUUUAUAACACUGAUUUGUUGUUCUGUUCUAUACAGUAUGUACACUUUGUUCAUCAUUAAAUAUAUAUAUAUAUAUAUAUAUAUAUAUAUAUAUAUAUAUAUAUAUAUAUAUAUAUAUAUAUAUAUAUAUCAAUUAAAUAGGGGGCAGUGGGAGCAGAAAGAGCUCUGUUCACUCAGAGAAAGAUGAAGAAUGUGAUGGGGAAAGAGGAAGGAUGUAGAGAAUCAGGUUGCUUAAUAUAGACAAACAUUUUCAGUAUCUGUCACAGUCCCUAAAGCCUCAGUAAUGUGUACCAUGGGAUUAACACUCCUGUGUUUAUGAGCACACACACACACACACAUUAGUAAAAUCCAACAGUUCUCAUCAGUGUGUGACUGUGGACUCUCUGACCUUACUGUGAGAGUAAACAGCAGUCAUAAAGUAGCCAAACACGGCUAAAGCCAUGAACUAGUUUAUUAGACAUCCAUAUAUCCGGAGCUGCUCCCCAAUAAAGACGUCAUGGAUAGUGAUGAACUCUCAGCUAGUGGGAGGAAACAAUAGAGAGAGAGAGAGAGAGAGAGAGAUGAAUUAUAGGUGUACUAUAUAACUCAGUAUACUAUAUAUAGUGCAAAAUAAUAUUCUUUUCAGUGUUUCACACACUUCACAUUCCAGGUGCACCGCAACAUGGCUGCACUGGAAAAAGUGCAAAUCCUUCCCCACUUUUGUAUAUUGCACUGUGUUUAUUGUCUUCUUAUGUACUUUUUUUCAUUAUGUAUGUUUUUAUUCUGUUUUGAUCGUUUGUUUUGACUUGGGUCCAUACGGCAUAAGGAAACCCCAGCAUGCUCAGCACUUAGUCACUGACUUCAUGUCUCUUUAGUUAAUGUACAGUAUAAUUCAAAAGUUUGGACAUGCAUUGUAAUAGAGAGGGGUUUAUUUUCUCCCCCAUAUUUUCAGUAAUUUCUACCUUUUAAAAUAAUAGUGAAGACAUUCAUUGGAUCUGACUGGACGGAUCUGGAGUCUGUCCCGGGAACACUAGGGUACAGGGCACCAUGCAGACAUCAGAAACUAUACAAUAACUUAUGUGGAAUUAUUCUGUGUAUGCCCCUCCGCCCCCUCCCC
Molecule: long non-coding RNA, 2036 nt
Organism: Ictalurus punctatus (channel catfish)
Lineage: Eukaryota; Metazoa; Chordata; Actinopteri; Siluriformes; Ictaluridae
Source: Ensembl